Molecule: RNA transcript, 1419 nt
Organism: Homalodisca vitripennis (glassy-winged sharpshooter)
Lineage: Eukaryota; Metazoa; Arthropoda; Insecta; Hemiptera; Cicadellidae
Gene name: cytochrome b-like
Exons: 1
Source: RefSeq, a predicted model, not a curated record
AUAAGAAGAAUUGCAUCAAAUGAAAAAUUUAAAUUAAAUAUAAAUAUAACAUUAACAAUAAUUAUUUUUAUUAUUAUCAGUGACGAAAUAAUAAAUGAAAAUCAAGUAAUAGAUAAACUAGAAUUAUCAGAAAAUAACCCAAUAGAAAAAAUUUCAAUAAUCAAAUUAUACAAUGAAAAAUCAAUAAUCAUUACUAUAAUUAUAGUAAUAUUUUUACUAUUAACUAUAAUUUCCACAACAAAAAUUGUCAAGUUACACGAAGGACCUUUACGAAAAAAAACUUAUGAAUAAGCCAAUACGAAAAAAUAACCCAAUUAUUAAAAUUAUUAAUUACUCAUUAAUUGAUUUACCAGCCCCUUUAAAUUUAUCAUCAUGAUGAAAUUUUGGAUCAAUUUUAGGUUUAUGCUUAACUAUUCAACUAAUUACAGGUAUUUUAUUAUCAAUACAUUAUACAUCAAAUAUUGAAAUAGCAUUUAAUAGAGUAAAUCACAUUACUCGAGAUGUAAAUUACGGUUGAUUAAUGCGAACAAUCCAUUCAAAUGGUGCAUCAAUAUUUUUUAUCUGCAUAUAUUUACAUACAGGACGAGGUAUAUAUUAUGGGUCAUACAAGUUUAUUAAAACAUGAAUAGUAGGAGUAAUAAUUAUAUUAUUAACAAUAGCUACAGCAUUCUUAGGGUACGUUUUACCAUGAGGUCAAAUAUCUUUUUGAGGAGCAACUGUUAUUACAAAUUUAUUGUCAGCGCUCCCUUACAUUGGAAGAAUAUUAGUUAACUGAAUUUGAGGGGGAUUCGCUGUAGAUAAUGCAACACUAUCACGAUUUUUUAGACUUCAUUUUCUUUUACCAUUUAUUAUUAUAAUAAUAACAAUUAUUCAUCUAUUUUUUCUUCAUAUAACAGGUUCAAAUAACCCAAUUGGGAUUAACUCAAACAUUGAUAAAAUUCCAUUUCACCCAUAUUUCUCAAUUAAAGACUUAAUAGGAUUUUCAAUUAUCAUUACUAUACUUCUAAUUUUAAAUAUAACUGAACCUUACAUAUUAUCAGACCCAGAUAAUUUUACUCCUGCAAACCCUAUGGUAACCCCAAUUCACAUUCAACCUGAAUGAUACUUCUUAUUUGCAUAUGCAAUUCUACGGUCAAUUCCUAAUAAAUUAGGGGGGGUGAUGGCAUUGUUUUUAUCAAUUUUAAUUUUAAUAAUUUUACCAUUCUCCAUAAAAAUAAAAUUUAAAGGAAUUGAAUUUUAUCCAAUUAAUCAAAUCAACUUUUGAAUAUUUUCUUCAACAGUAAUUCUUCUAACAUGAAUUGGAGCACGGCCUGUAGAACUACCCUAUACAGAAACAGGAAUAAUAUUAACAGUUAUAUAUUUUAUUUACUUUAUUAGAGAUCCAUUAAUUUCAAAAAUAUGAGAUAAAAUUAUUAAAUA